GCCGCAGCCCCACUCUCCUCCGGAGCCCCGGGUGAGGCAGCGGCGGCAGCGGGGCCGCCGCGGAGCCCGCCGGGCGGCAGUUACCUUGAGCCGCCGUGCAGCCGCCUGGUUCACCCGCUCCACCACCGACUGUAGCGCCUUCCCAACCUCGUCCGACAUUGCUACUUUCCACAUAGCGUCAGGCGGCGACGGCACACGACGUCAAGGAGUUGUCGGCGUUGACGUCAGUCGCCUUUCAAACUGGAAAGACACUUACCACCAUGCCGACGCUGUUCUGUUGUCCUCCAGGGCCCAUCUCCAGAGAGUCAUCCAUCACCAAGUUCAUAAAUGGGUCGAACCCUCGCAGGAUGCCCUGCACGUGUCUGCCUCCAUUCAACUUCACUAAAGGUGCAGCAAAACGUAAAAAGAAGAAAAAUGAAGAGGAACAAAAGUAGAGACAGCGGGGGGCUAUACAGAAGUUUCUGUCGGGCAGCCGCCCGACAGCUGUAAACCUGCUAGUGUUAGCAGAGCCAGAGGCCGAGCCAGGCCCGGAGACGCGGCCCGAAGACGCAGCGGAAGACGCUUCGGCGCCUUCAACAUCAGCGCCAUCACAGGAGAAUGACAAAAUGAUGGAAGAACAGCAGCCGGCCAGAAAAAGUGAGCCCAAUAUAGUUUUGACGGAGCCUCUAGACCCGGAAAGGGUAUUGACAAGCUAUCCAUCUGAUCCUGCAAAGUGGGACCAAAUUGACGACAGGAUGCGUGAGUACUUUGCACUAAACCAUCCCUGUCAAAAUAUUGGAGAUUUCUCUGCAUCACAGAGAAAAUAUGGAGACAUUAACCGAAGCUUAACUAAGGAACAUUACCGAUUGCAAACUGUUCAGGAGAAAGAUCAUUUUCUUUGUUGAAACGAGUGAAAACAUACCGGAGAGCAACAGUAACAGAAAAAAAACUGAAUGCCUUUGCCCUGUUGGCAAUUGAGAAUGGAUUUACAACCUCCCUGGAUUUUGAAGACAUUAUCGAGGACUUCGCCUCAUCAAAACUUAGGAGAAAGCAUCUGUAAAGAUCGUGAUGAUGCUGUCAAGACGUGUUUCUGCUGCGAUGGAGGCCUGCGAUGCUGGAAGGCUGAAGAUUAUCCCUGAGUGGAGCAUGCUAAAUGGUUUCCUCAGUGUGAAUAUGGGCUCCAGGAGAAGGGACAAGAAUUUUUGUUUACCCAAUUCAGGCUCGUUUUCCUUGUCUGUCUGAGCAGAGUGCAGUCUAGUAAAGCACACCGUCCAGAGAAACAUCCAGACCAGUGGAGAGAACUGCUGAACAGUCCAGACCAGGAGCUGAGCUGCUGAGUGUUGAAUACCAGAAAAUGGAAGAGAGGUGAUGGUUGUCCAUGAAAAUAAACAUCUUUCUCACUACAGCACA
Molecule: long non-coding RNA, 1389 nt
Organism: Limanda limanda (common dab)
Lineage: Eukaryota; Metazoa; Chordata; Actinopteri; Pleuronectiformes; Pleuronectidae
Exons: 6
Source: RefSeq, a predicted model, not a curated record